AAUUUUCAGAAUUAUAGUUACUGUUUUUAACAUCAAAACCUUUGGGCCAAAAUGUAAAUAAAAUAAAAUAAAAUAAGUAUUUGUGCCGUCAUCAAAACAUUAGGGACUAAAAUGAUAUUUUAUCUUGUCAAGGACUAUUCUGAAAAGUUAGCAAACAAAUUAAACUAUAAUGGAAUUCCUCUAUGCAAAUAUUUCCUGAAUAUUGGGCCAUGCUAAAUUUUUAUAAAGAAAAUGAAUCUAAACGAUAUUAUCCUCCAUCAUCUUUAACAUUCUGCGCCUUCUUCAGUCCUCACCCAGCACUACCAGCAGCACAGUAUCCAAAUAGAAAAAUUGGAAAAACACAGUAACAUACUCAUAUUCAGGCAAAGCUAACAAAACUGAAUACUACUAAUGAUUUAAGCAAAUAUGAAAUAAAUAUAAAUCAAAGAGCUAUUUCAAAAAAAAAAAAGACUCAUUUAAAAAACAGAGCAAGUUAGUCACGAAUGAAAACAUACCCAUUACCUAACUGGCUAGCUAGUGACAGAGUAAGGAGAGAAUGGCAGCGGUAGGUCUACAGCAAGGAGAAGGCAACACGGGCAAAGGCAGAUGCGAGUUAGGUUUUGGAUUGUGGGUUCGUGGCUGUGCUGUGCAAGUGAGAGAGAGAGAGAGG
RNAcentral lists this long non-coding RNA (649 nucleotides) under Citrus maxima (pomelo). RNAcentral's name for it is "long non-coding RNA (CMAX_LNC000918)". Lineage: Eukaryota; Viridiplantae; Streptophyta; Magnoliopsida; Sapindales; Rutaceae. The record is from RNAcentral.